RNAcentral lists this ribosomal RNA (914 nucleotides) under uncultured marine archaeon. RNAcentral's name for it is "bacterial SSU rRNA". It matches the Rfam family "Archaeal small subunit ribosomal RNA", at positions 1 to 922 of the family's 1478-position model. The record is from RNAcentral.
UUCCGGUUGAUCCCGCCGGACCUGACUGCUAUCGGAUUGAUACUAAGCCAUGCGAGUCUUUGUAGUAAUACAAGGCAGACGGCUCAGUAACACGUAGUCAACCUACCCUAUGGACGAGAAUAAUCUCGGGAAACUGAGCAUAAUUCUUGAUAGAUCAUAAUGCCUGGAAUGGUUUAUGGUUAAAAUGAUUCGUCGCCAUAGGAUGGGACUGCGGCCUAUCAGCUUGUUGGUGAGGUAAUGGCCCACCAAGGCGAUUACAGGUACGGGCUCUGAGAGGAGAAGCCCGGAGAUGGGUACUGAGACACGGACCCAGGCCCUAUGGGGCGCAGCAGGCGAGAAAACUUUGCAAUGUGCGAAAGCACGACAAGGUUAAUCCGAGUGAUUUCUGCUAAAGAAAUCUUUUGCCAGUCGUAAAACCGCUGGUGAAUAAGGGGUGGGCAAGUUCUGGUGUCAGCCGCCGCGGUAAAACCAGCACCUCAAGUGGUCAGGAUGAUUAUUGGGCCUAAAGCAUCCGUAGCCUGCUUUGUAAGUUUUCGGUUAAAUCCAUGUGCUCAACGCAUGGGCUGCCGAAAAUACUGCAUAGCUAGGGAGUGGGAGAGGUAGACGGUACUCAGUAGGUAGGGGUAAAAUCCUUUGAUCUAUUGAUGACCACCUGUGGCGAAGGCGGUCUACCAGAACACGUUCGACGGUGAGGGAUGAAGCUGGGGGAGCAAACCGGAUUAGAUACCCGGGUAGUCCCAGCUGUAAACGAUGCAGACUCGAUGAUGCAUUGGCAUAAUAGCCAUUGCAGUGUCGCAGGGAAGCCGUUAAGUCUGCCGCCUGGGAAGUACGUACGCAAGUAUGAAACUUAAAGGAAUUGGCGGGGGAGCACCACAAGGGGUGAAGCCUGCGGUUCAAUUGGAUUCAACGCCGGG